RNAcentral lists this ribosomal RNA (623 nucleotides) under uncultured cyanobacterium. RNAcentral's name for it is "bacterial SSU rRNA". It matches the Rfam family "Bacterial small subunit ribosomal RNA", at positions 38 to 706 of the family's 1533-position model. Lineage: Bacteria; Bacillati; Cyanobacteriota. The record is from RNAcentral.
UGCGGCGUGCUUACACAUGCAAGUCGAACGAACUUCGGGUUAGUGGCGGACGGGUGAGUACGCUGAAUCUGCCCUCAGUGAGGGGGACAACAGUUGGAAACGACUGCUAAUACCCCAUAUGCCGCGAGGUGAAAUGAAUUUCGCCUGAGUGAUGAGCUCGCGUCUGAUUAGCUAGUUGGUGUAGUAAUGGCUCACCAAGGCAUCGAUCAGUAGCUGGUCUGAGAGGAUGAUCAGCCACACUGGGACUGAGACACGGCCCAGACUCCUACGAGGAGGCAGCCAGUGGGGAAUUUUCCGCAAUGGGCGAAAGCCUGACGGAGCACGCCGCGUGAGCGGAUGAAGGCCUCUGGGCUGUAAACCUCUUUUAUCAAGGAAGAAGAUCUGACGGUACUUGAUGAAUAAGCCACGGCUAAUUCCGUGCCACACAGACGCAGGUAAUACGGGAGUGGCAAAGCGUUAUCCGGAAUUAUUGGGCGUAAAGCGUCCGCAACGCGGCCCUUCAAGUCAUGCUGUUAAAAACGUGGAGCUUUAACAUCCAAUCAAUGGCAGGUGGAAAACUUGUUGGGCUUGAAGGUAGUUGGGAUCACGGCAGCAGAGGGGAAUUACCCGGGUUGUAGCGGGAU